GCUCUGCCUCCGACCUGCGGAGGGAUCACGCGGCAGUGGAGGGCAGAUAAAAAGCCCUUUGGACGAGGGUCGCCUCCGUCCUUGUUGUUCACUUGGGAGCAGUGGAGAGGAAAACGGUCCCCACGGGCGGACUUUGGCUUCUGGAGCCGCGGGGCUCAUCCGUCCAGGCCUCCCGGAGCCUCUGCUGGGUAUAGGGGGAGGGGCAGCGGGGGAGGGGACUGGGAGAAGGGAUCUGGGGACGGGGGGCUGGAAGCGCUAAGGAGACCUGCUGGGAGGAUUUGCGUCAGCAGGUCCAAGAGAGACUUGGGAGCGCUGAGUGCAGGAGGUGGAUCUCGGCCUAGUUUGCUUGCAGAAAUAGAACUGUAUUUCGAGGAAAUCAAUCAAUCUGCAGGAAACAAAAAUGGAAGUCGAGGUUUGGGAAGAGUUGUCACUUCCCCGACUCGAGUGGUGCGGGCCGGGGGCGGAGACUUGGGGCCGCGGAGAGGCCCUUUCUCCCACCUCAGCUCGUUCCCAGGACUUCCAGAAGGGAGAAGUACCCUCCUCACCCCUCUUCUUCCCCACACCCGUCCUCGCUCGCCCGCCGGCCCCUUUCCGCACCUCCUUCUCCCCUCAAGUGAGAAAAGCCUAGUUCCCGAGCCGGUGUACGCGGUUGCCUUACCCCUCCCCGCUCCCACGCGGGUGCCCCCUCCAGCCAUCGCUACUGCCACCACCUCGGUUCCACUCAAUCGAUUUUUGCUGCAUGUCAACACUUAUUCCCGAAAAUGGCCCGCUGAUGAUGUGACCCAGUGUACCAGGACUAAGGCUUGGGGUGGUUUCCUUAGAAUUCCAAGACUCCUUCUACCAAUGCCUCCUCUGACCAGAAGCAGCAAAGUCUUUCUGCCUCCAUCAACAGUUUGCAGCGGCACUGGACCCCCUGCACGCAGUCCUGGGCUGGAUCCUUUAUCCUUGUCCCUCUGGGGAGAUGAGACCAAGAGCCGCUUCCACUGUCCCGGAGAAGACAGUGGAGCAGAUACGGAAUGUGACUUGGAACCCCGGUUAGUGGCAAGCCGGUUCUUGGGCUCUUUCCUCCGUUCUACUACUGUCAACAGCCCCCUCAACUCUGCUUCCCUAGGCGGGUAUCUGGGUGAAGUUCCUGCACAUCGUUCUCGGUCCUCCCGGAUGAACUGUCAGGGCCUUCCCUAAUGUCACUUUACGAGGCCGCCUGCGCUGGGUUGAAGGAGAGUCUCCCCUGACUGACUCGUCCCGCUGCGUGCAGGCGCAGGAGGGGGGAGAGCCGAUGGGGACGACCCUGCAGGCCGUCCUGAGCGCCACAGACGGGGAUUUACCUGCCGAGUCCAAGGCGACAGACAACAGGUCACUUUGUUAGAGAAUAAGAUAAUAUCAAACAAAAGAAAGUAAAAUAAAACCCUUCUUAUGAGGGC
This 1421-nucleotide long non-coding RNA is filed under the name Sus scrofa (pig). RNAcentral's name for it is "lncRNA (ENSSSCG00040007202.1, ENSSSCG00060040494.1)". The record is from RNAcentral. Lineage: Eukaryota; Metazoa; Chordata; Mammalia; Artiodactyla; Suidae.